This is a long non-coding RNA of Ornithodoros turicata, 456 nucleotides long. RefSeq lists it as uncharacterized. Lineage: Eukaryota; Metazoa; Arthropoda; Arachnida; Ixodida; Argasidae. The record is from RefSeq and is a predicted model, not a curated record. The transcript is spliced from 3 exons.
GAUGAUGUUGAAGAGAACGAGGUACCGGACGAAGAAGCUACGCUCAAGCUUGAAAAUACGGUACGGUGGCGUGACGACUACUGCAAGAUGGGAAAUCGAAGUCGGCAGGCCAAUGCCAGCAUCAUCAGGUGGUCGGACGGAGCAUGUCUGUCCACUUGGGUUCGGAGAUUCGUCUUCCUCAAGCAGCAGGGUGUUCUGGUUGCCUCUGACCAGAACCAGUCUUGCCAACGACUUCCGGUGGGAGAUGUAAAGGUUGCUACGAAGGAAGACGAAAUGUCUACAGUUGUGUCGACACGUGGAAUGAAGAGAGUGAAGUGGCUACUGUGGCAGUCGGCUGCGUUACGAAGGCCUCAGCCUCUACCAGGCACGUGACGAGCUCUUCUAAAUUGAGGGACGACCGGCAAAGUACCUUCCGCAGUACGGCCUUCACCCUUCCAAUCAUUCGCUCCCACUAUC